CCUACGGGAGGCAGCAGUGAGGAAUAUUGGUCAAUGGACGAGAGUCUGAACCAGCCAAGUAGCGUGAAGGAUGACUGCCCUAUGGGUUGUAAACUUCUUUUAUAUGGGAAUAAAACGUUCCACGUGUGGGAUUUUGUAUGUACCAUAUGAAUAAGGAUCGGCUAACUCCGUGCCAGCAGCCGCGGUAAUACGGAGGAUCCGAGCGUUAUCCGGUUUUAUUGGGUUUAAAGGGAGCUUAGGUGGAUUGUUAAGUCAGUGGUGAAAGUUUGCGGCUCAACCGUAAAAUUGCAGUUGAAACUGGCAGUCUUGAGUACAGUAGAGGUGAGCGGAAUUCGUGGUGUAGCGGUGAAAUGCUUAGAUAUCACGAAGAACUCCGAUUGCGAAGGCAGUUCACUGGACUGCAACUGACACUGAGGCUCGAAAGUGUGGGUAUCAAACAGGAUUAGAUACCCCAGUAGUC
Molecule: ribosomal RNA, 460 nt
Filed under: uncultured bacterium
Lineage: Bacteria
Description: partial 16S ribosomal RNA
Rfam family: Bacterial small subunit ribosomal RNA
Source: RNAcentral